Molecule: ribosomal RNA, 254 nt
Filed under: uncultured bacterium
Lineage: Bacteria
Description: partial 16S ribosomal RNA
Rfam family: Bacterial small subunit ribosomal RNA
Source: RNAcentral
UACGGGGGGGGCAAGCGUUGUUCGGAAUUACUGGGCGUAAAGGGCUCGUAGGCGGCCAACUAAGUCGGACGUGAAAUCCCUCGGCUUAACCGGGGAACUGCGUCCGAUACUGGAUGGCUUGAGUUCGGGAGAGGGAUGCGGAAUUCCAGGUGUAGCGGUGAAAUGCGUAGAUAUCUGGAGGAACACCGGUGGCGAAGGCGGCAUCCUGGACCAACACUGACGCUGAGUGAGCGAAAGCCAGGGGAGCAAGCGGG